This 133-nucleotide non-coding RNA is filed under the name Chinchilla lanigera (long-tailed chinchilla). The record is from RNAcentral. Lineage: Eukaryota; Metazoa; Chordata; Mammalia; Rodentia; Chinchillidae.
AUAUUGUGUGAGAGAGAAGGUUAGCAUUCACCUUCAUAAGAAUGGAAAAAGGCCCUCAGCCCUGAAACCAUACAGUUUGAAAUACAUACAAUUAAGGCAUUUUCCCCUAGCUGUGUCACCUCACUAUCAUUUU